This 500-nucleotide ribosomal RNA is filed under the name uncultured bacterium. RNAcentral describes it as "partial 16S ribosomal RNA". It matches the Rfam family "Bacterial small subunit ribosomal RNA", at positions 29 to 523 of the family's 1533-position model. The record is from RNAcentral.
AUUGAACGCUGGCGGCAUGCCUUACACAUGCAAGUCGAACGGCAGCACGGGAGCAAUCCUGGUGGCGAGUGGCGAACGGGUGAGUAAUAUAUCGGAACGUGCCCAGUCGUGGGGGAUAACGCAGCGAAAGCUGUGCUAAUACCGCAUACGAACUACGGAUGAAAGCGGGGGAUCGCAAGACCACGCGCGCUUGUAGCGGGCGAUAUCAGAGUAGCUAGUUGGGGGGGUAAAGGCCCACCAAGGCGACGAUCUGUAGCUGGUCUGAGAGGACGACCAGCCACACUGGAACUGGGACACGGUCCAGACUCCUACGGGGGGCAGCGGUGGGGAAUUUUGGACAAUGGGCGAAAGCCUGAUCCAGCAAUGCCGCGUGCAGGACGAAGGCCUUCGGGUUGUAAACUGCUUUUGUACGGAACGAAAAGCCCUGGGUUAAUACCCUGGGGUCAUGACGGUACCGUAAGAAUAAGCACCGGCUAACUACGUGCCAGCCGCCGCAGUAA